AGCUAUCACAGUAUAAUGUUUACUGCUAAAGAUGCAGAAUGACUACUUCAGGCUUAUUUCCUUAUGCCUUCCACCAAAGGGACUAAGGGCCAAAUGGAGUGGUCUCUUUGACAUCGAUACAAGUAGAAAAAGGCAUCCAGGAUGGAAAUCCAGUACACAACCAUUGCACCCUGCUCCUGUAUUCCCCCCUGGACCCAUGAUGUUCAUAUUCUACAGACUUCAUAAAGGAUUCUUCAACGCUGUAAGUACUAGUAUCAGAUCUGCUCAAACAGAGCAUCAUGAAGAACAAGCAUAAAGAUUGAAUCCUAUUAUUCAUGGGCUUGGGAAGCUCCAAGCAACAUAUCUUCUAAAUAAUUAGGGCCAAAAAAUAGGCUUUGCAUACUAAAUUAUGUC
Molecule: long non-coding RNA, 393 nt
Filed under: Gopherus agassizii (Agassiz's desert tortoise)
Lineage: Eukaryota; Metazoa; Chordata; Testudines; Testudinidae
Description: lncRNA (ENSGAGG00000005634.1)
Source: RNAcentral